ACUUUUAACAAUGGAUCUCUUGGCUCUCAUAUCGAUGAAGAACACAGUGAAAUGUGAUAAGUAAUGUGAAUUGCAGAAUUCAGUGAAUCAUCAAAUCUUUGAACGCACCUUGCACCUUUUGGUAUUCCAAAAGGUAUACCUGUUUGAGUGUCAU
RNAcentral lists this ribosomal RNA (154 nucleotides) under Puccinia chloridis. RNAcentral describes it as "5.8S ribosomal RNA". It matches the Rfam family "5.8S ribosomal RNA". From Rfam's summary of the family: 5.8S ribosomal RNA (5.8S rRNA) is a component of the large subunit of the eukaryotic ribosome. It is transcribed by RNA polymerase I as part of the 45S precursor that also contains 18S and 28S rRNA. Functionally, it is thought that 5.8S rRNA may be involved in ribosome translocation. Lineage: Eukaryota; Fungi; Basidiomycota; Pucciniomycetes; Pucciniales; Pucciniaceae. The record is from RNAcentral.